RNAcentral lists this ribosomal RNA (471 nucleotides) under uncultured bacterium. Its description in RNAcentral is "bacterial SSU rRNA". It matches the Rfam family "Bacterial small subunit ribosomal RNA", at positions 335 to 799 of the family's 1533-position model. The record is from RNAcentral.
ACUCCUACGGGAGGCAGCAGUGGGGAAUAUUGCACAAUGGGGAAACCCUGAUGCAGCCAUGCCGCGUGUGUGAAGAAGGCCUUCGGUUGUAAAGCACUUCAGUAGGGAGGAAGGUAGUGUAGUUAACACCUGCACUAUUUGACGUUACCUACAGAAGAAGCACCGGCUAACUCCGUGCCAGCAGCCUCGGUAAUACGGAGGGGUGCGAGCGUUAAUCGGAAUUACUGGGCGUAAAGCGCAUGCAGGCGGCCUGUUAAGUCAGAUGUGAAAGCCCGGGGGCUUAACCUCGGAAUUGCAUUUGAAACUGGCAGGCUAGAGUCUUGUAGAGGGGGUAGAAUUUCAGGUGUAGCGGUGAAAUGCGUAGAGAUCUGAAGGAAUACCAGUGGCGAAGGCGGCCCCCUGGACAAAGACUGACGCUCAGAUGCGAAAGCGUGGGGAGCAAACAGGAUUAGAUACCCUUGUAGCACAGAG